UACGAAGGUCGCAAGCGUUAUCCGGAGUUACUGGGCGUAAAGAGUUCGUAGCUGGUCUAGUGAGUCUGAUUUUAAAGACUCUGUCUCAAGCAGAGGAAGGGGUCAGAUACUGCUAUUCUGGAGAUAACUGGGGGUUAGUGGAAUUGCCGGUGGAGGGGUGAAAUCCGUUGAUAUCGGUAGGAACGCCAAAAGCGAAAGCAACUAACUAUGGUUUUCUGACAGUCAAGAACGAAAGCUCGGGGAUCAAACGGG
This 252-nucleotide ribosomal RNA is filed under the name uncultured bacterium. RNAcentral's name for it is "partial 16S ribosomal RNA". It matches the Rfam family "Bacterial small subunit ribosomal RNA", at positions 524 to 776 of the family's 1533-position model. The record is from RNAcentral.